GAGAAGCUUCCAUUGAAAAUUAAUGACUUCUGGUAACUUUUGAAGCUCAAGUCGCCGGAGGUGUGUACGUACAGUAAGCAUAGUCUAAUUGU
Long non-coding RNA from Etheostoma cragini (Arkansas darter), 92 nucleotides. RefSeq lists it as uncharacterized. The transcript has 3 exons. NCBI's taxonomy places the organism in Eukaryota, Metazoa, Chordata, Actinopteri, Perciformes, Percidae. The record is from RefSeq and is a predicted model, not a curated record.